Molecule: ribosomal RNA, 253 nt
Filed under: uncultured bacterium
Lineage: Bacteria
Also listed under: 1 other name
Description: partial 16S ribosomal RNA
Rfam family: Bacterial small subunit ribosomal RNA
Source: RNAcentral
UACGGAGGGUGCGAGCGUUGUCCGGAAUCACUGGGCGUAAAGGGCGCGUAGGCGGUCUGCUAAGCGUGCGGUGAAAGCCUGGGGCUCAACCCCAGGUCUGCCGUGCGAACUGGUGGACUUGAGCACUGUAGAGGCAGGUGGAAUUCCGGGUGUAGCGGUGGAAUGCGUAGAGAUCCGGAAGAACACCGGUGGCGAAGGCGGCCUGCUGGGCAGUUGCUGACGCUGAGGCGCGACAGCGUGGGGAGCAAACAGG